RNAcentral lists this long non-coding RNA (707 nucleotides) under Homo sapiens (human). Its description in RNAcentral is "HSALNT0326505". Lineage: Eukaryota; Metazoa; Chordata; Mammalia; Primates; Hominidae. The record is from RNAcentral.
CCUAGGGAUGGGAAGGAAAUAUGCUUCUUUUCAACUCUACUAUUUACAGGUUCCAAGGAUUAGGACAGCAUGUUUGAGGGCCAUUAUUCCGACAACCACACCAACAAAGGAUCCUUCAAAGGACAUAAAGUGACUUCGCCUUUCAGAAGACAUAUGGCACAGUCUGAAGACAUUUUUGAUUGUCAUGAAUGAGGGAUGGGGCUCUUCGCCAUUCAAAUCCUCCCUACACAGUGAAGCAUUAUCCAUCUCUGGUACUGGCAAGGGCAAAACUCAGACUUUUGUUGAUGGCAUCUGGAUGCAAUCGUCUUUGAGUACAUCAGCUUGUUGCAGGAUAACACAGAGCACUAUCAUUGACUCUCAUCGUGGCAAAGCAGAUGUUCCUUGGCCUUGUGCAAGCCCCACCUGCACCACUCUGGAUGUCCCUGACUGCAAGACACACAGUCAAGAGGUCCUAAUGUCAGUCACUUGUGCUCUCUAAAAGUGUAGUGCCUCUUUUUCUUUGUCUGCUUUAGACUGUCACGUUAAGGGGAAACAGUGUAUGAAUGCCAAAUAAAAGAAAAGCAACUAAAAUUGGUAGACAUGCCUUUUUUAGCUUCAGAGAAGUCAGCAUUUAAUCCAGACAUUUAGUGCCUUGGUUUUUAUUCAAAAUUUAAGACAGACUUUUACACAGAUAAAUGAUUGCACUGACAAGACCCUCUGGGACACUA